This is a long non-coding RNA of Lontra canadensis (Northern American river otter), 772 nucleotides long. RefSeq lists it as uncharacterized. NCBI's taxonomy places the organism in Eukaryota, Metazoa, Chordata, Mammalia, Carnivora, Mustelidae. The record is from RefSeq and is a predicted model, not a curated record. The transcript has 4 exons.
UUGAUGUCAACAAAUAUUGGUUGAGCAUCUGUUAUGGGUUAGGGAUGGAGCUACAGGUAAGGGCGGUUCAAAAACGAGACACACUGCUUGCCUUUUAGGAGCUCACAGUCCAGGGGAAGGGACAGUCAGGAAACCAGGAAACCAGGCAACCACCAUAUAUAUACAAAGGGAUGGCUCUAAGGUGCUCUCUUCCGUGUGUCAGAUGAGGACUCCCUUCACAUUUGGCUGUCAUCUAUCAGCCACAACUGUCCUGUCCCGAAGAGCUGGCUUUGGCUUUAAAGCCUGCUUCCUGGCUGGGCUUCUCCACCACUCCAUUAAGGAUACCAUUUGAUACCACAUGUGCUACAGGUGCUGUUGAUGAAAGUGCUAAAGGAGCUGGAUGGGACUGACGUCUUUGGGAAGGGUAAGACUCAGGGUGCGCAUGCAGCUGUCCUGUCCAAGUGCUGUUCUUACCUCCCAAGGGAAAGCUGAACGAGGGCCAUGCUUGGGACAACACCAGCAGAGCCUUCCAGCAGACAGGCCAGGGAGGAAGCCAGGGUCAGCGAGUGAAGAAGAGAGCAGCGCCAUUUAAAGCAACAUGGUUUAUUAAUAACGGAAACUACAUGUUAUUUGGCAGCCCCAAAGGAAUCACAUGUCUGAUGUAGUGGAAGGACAGUGCCCUAAAAGAAAGGGUGGCAUGCUGGACAGCCAAAGGAACAAACGUCCACUACACGUAAUGUGAGCACCACGUUUGGAUGCGAUCCAUCUCUGUAGGAGACUGGCGGCAAUUCAC